UUAAAUAUUAAAUUCAAUUUAAAUAAAUAAAUAAAUUUAAUUUUAAAUUAUAUUAAUUAAUAUAUUUUAUAUAUUAAUUUACAUAUUAUAUAUAUAUAUUAAACUAAUUAAAACUUAUAAUUAUUCUAAAUAUUGAUCUAACAUAUAAAUUAAAAUAAUAUUAAUAAAAAUUAAAUUUAAUUAUAUUUAUGACAAAAAUAAAUAAAAAUUUUAUAAAUUAGUUUAAAGUGCAUUAUCUAUUUAAUUAACAAGUUACCCUAAUAAUUUAAUACCGCCAAAUUAAAUAAUUUUAAUUAAAAUUAAUCUUCAUUUUUUUUUAAAUUUAUAUAACUUAUAACUAGGGUAUCUAAUCCUAUACUAAUUUUUUAUAAAAUAUAUUUAACUUAAUAAAUAAUAAAUAUAUAUUAUUAAUUUCACCUAAUCAAUAUAAUUUAAUUAAUUUUAAAAAAAAAAAAGAAAAAUAAUAAAAAUUAUUAAAUUAAUUAAAUACAGUUUUUGU
This 499-nucleotide ribosomal RNA is filed under the name Coccidae sp. CCG-AL-35. Its description in RNAcentral is "partial 12S ribosomal RNA". Lineage: Eukaryota; Metazoa; Arthropoda; Insecta; Hemiptera; Coccidae. The record is from RNAcentral.